Dreissena polymorpha is the source of this 3888-nucleotide long non-coding RNA. RefSeq lists it as uncharacterized. The transcript has 5 exons. Lineage: Eukaryota; Metazoa; Mollusca; Bivalvia; Myida; Dreissenidae. The record is from RefSeq and is a predicted model, not a curated record.
CUCUUAUCGAAAACAUUGAUACUGCGUGUAUAAAUAAAUACGUACACGGAAAAAUAUAUCGGAUGAGUCGCAACCUACAGCUUUAGCGGAGUGAUAACAAUGCAACGAAUACAUGUCAACCGGAAACGAGCCACUGUAAGUGUCGGAACAGAAGCUGUGGGAGUACGCACUCCAGCCACUUGAAGAUAAGGUUCAACGGGAUACACGUAGGACUCGAAUGGCAUUUAUAAGAAGAAUUCUGCGUCCGCUUACGACCUAUCAGGCGAACCACUCCCUCUCUUGACACAUGAAAUCACAUUGGGUGACCGUCACAUAAUCACAUUUAAAUACCGGAUCGGCUUGUUUGGAUCCUUGUCAAGCAGCUGUGAAAUUAUUAAAGAGAUACUGACACUUUGCGAGCGGGAUUUUCCUAAUAUUCAUGGUCUAGGUCAAGAAUUGAGAGACCUCGUUUCCGCGAAGUCUGUUCAGGUCUUCACAACAGAGACGUUUCGCCAUCACUUUGAUUCUGGUUCAAAUAAAAGGACUCCGAACAUAAUGCUCCAAGAUAUUACACAUUAUAUCAAAUAUACCAAUACAUUUGCAUUGGUUGUUUUUGAUAAUUUUCUGCAAGCAGCCGUUAUCAAGUUUUCAACAAUUCAGACAUCCGUUUGACUGCACUUUUACUGUUUGGCGACGUUCUGAACUUUCCAGAUAACCCCAAAAUACUUUGUAUCCAAACUCACCCGAAUGAGGUCAUGAAGAACGCUGCACGUGUAUUGGAAAUGUGUGCAUUUUUGUUAUUGAAAUCGAUACAGCGUACUGUACAACAAUAUGAUGGACACAGUAAUGCCUCGCGAAGAAAAAAGGCUGAACUUCUGGAUCUGAUUGACCUCAUUGUGUUAACAUACGAAAGAAGCUUCAACUUCUCAUCAUCAAACAAAAUAAGUAUGGUGAAUUGAAUUCAUGUAUUUACGCACAGGACCUAAAAGAUUAAACUGUAUUAACCUGAAAAUAGAAGCGGGUUAUCUACAUAAAAAUUCUAAUUCUGGUAAUUUUGUAAACACAUUUUGUUUGGGCAAAAAGAACUAAAUUUAACAUACAUAGUAAAAAAUACUGAAAAACAAUCGUUUUUUAUCUGUAAUUAUUUUAUCUGUAACAUUUAUAUCCCCAUCUUAUUAAUUUCUAAUAUAUUUGACAAUUGAAUCAAUUCUUCUAAACUAUAUCAUAAGUGGUGGACAAAACAUGAUAACUUAUGAAAUAAAAAUUAUGAGGCAUCAAGAUCAAGAAGAUGAACUGUAACAUGUAAAUUACUCCACUGAAACUAUUUUAACUUGUUGGUGGAUAAAAACAAAUAAAAAUAAAUGAAGCUAGAUUGACUACCUAUACAUGUCUUUGAUGGUGGAAAUAUAAACCAUCAACUCCGCGAAUCUUACUCUCUCUCUAUGCUCCAAUAUCAAUAUGAAGCAAUUGCUUGUAUUUAUUCAUUUUGUAAGAAAGUGUCGUUUUUCAAAUGGCUAUUAUUAAAUGUAGACUUUUUCGACCUUCUAAUGCAUACAAUCCAUUUUUAUUUCUUAUUUACUCUUUUCCUUUUUUAGUUGAAUGAUUUGUAUGUUCAAUUAUUUUUCCUACAUGCCUAUUAAUACUUUUUUGUAUAUUAACAUUUGACUAUCGUUCGAUCUUUCAAACCGUAAACAAAAAUAAUUCGAAUAUAUAUGCAUGCAUAUGAUGAAGAGAAUACGUAUGAUAUAAAUUUGUAUAUAACAUAUAUAUUUUUUUCCAGAUUUUUAAUUGUUUACAUUGUUAGGUAAGAAAUGCUGUGUGCUAUUUUUAUUGUAUAUAUUAAUUCGGCAUUGAACAAAAUGAUGACGUCGCUUAUUAAUUAAUAUCAACAUGAUUAUUCAUCUAAAGCAUAUUUAAUGAUUACUAUUUUCACUGGAGUAUUUAUAUGUGUUUAAUUUAUGUUGUAUUCUAUUGUUGAUAAUUUUACAGGACAGAAGUAUACAUUCAAUAUCGUAUUCACUAUUUCAUUGUUGAACCUUACAAUCAUACCACAUGCUAUAUAGUCUAAAUUAAUUCAAAUUUUUGCAUCACUUCAAUAUUAUGCAUAAUAAUCGUGUUUUUAUCGUGUCAAUGAUACAUGUUUAAGUUCAUUUGAUGUACCGGUAUGUUUCAUAGUUUGUUGUCAACAAUAUUUAUUUAAACUACCACACUUAUUUAAACGAUGCAUGAAGAUGUGUGUCUUCGUAUCCCUUUUAAUGCUUUUUAUGACAUUGACUAAAUAGCGAUACACAUAUUAAUUAACAUGAUAUUGUUUUUAUCUUAAGGAACAUCUCAUCUUAGCUUCUUUUGCAUUUAGUAGUAAAAGAGUCGAGUUGACAAAAUAAUACAAUGAGCUAAGUUAUAUUUCACACUUUUAAAAACGCAAUCUAAUAGACUAGUGUUUUUUGAAACUAUUUAUUGAUUAUUUUUUACCAACGGUGCAACUAUCAAUUGAUACUUAAUACAAGGCAGUAUCACUUCCUUGUUUGGUGGGAUUUUGAUUCUUUAUUGAUACCGAGAUUUGUAUGCAUAUUGUUUAAAGCGAGACUAAACGAUUUUAAAUGUGUUAAAUAUAUUGAUAAAAAUAUUUAACAAUAAAACAAAAUAUUAUAUUUACAAUUAUAUAUUGAAGACGAAUUUCUUAAAAUGCAGCAAAAAAGCGCCCUGAGCCGAUUGUGACGAAGAUAUUUCGUACACAUUUUCCUACAAUAACCGAAGCAUUCGUCUUUUUAUUGUGAUCGGAGUUAGUGUUCGUGUGUCGUAUGAAUAGAUAUCGUUGCAGGAAUUUAAACUGAACCGUUAAACUAAAUUUAGAUUCACAUCGUACAUGUAUGUUAUACAUGCUGGCGAAUUCGACGAUACAGACAUUUUCGAUUUCAGAAUUAAAUAUCUGGCUUAUUUCGCAUUUUUCGACACAUGAUCUUCUUAACUUUUAUUUCAAUGUAUAUUGAAAUUUAUGUAUAAUAUUUUCUUUACACUUUUUAUAUAAAUUCAUAGAUAUUUGACAAAAUUGGUCGUAUAGUCUCCCUUUAAGUUUGCUGUUCGAAAGUAUCAUUAAAUUUUGUUUAAGUAUGUAUACUCAAAUUCAUAUGCCGUGUAAAGUCUGCAUUUUUUAUUUUAACUUGUUUUAUAACUAUUGUUCUACGCAGACACUUGUUUGACUGCUAUAACGUUUUCAUAAACAAGUUUAAUAGCUUAACGCUUAAUUAUAGAAUUUCCAAACUCACCUUUAAAAAAUUUAAAGUAAAUAAACGUUCACGAACUCAUGCGAAAUAAACAGUAAAAAUAAAGUUCCAUUACUUGCUAGUACAAAAAAUAUAAUUCGUCGUUGUGAACAAUUGGCUUGGAAUAAAGACCUAUGAUCACGAACAUAUCCAGUCAGUAUGCUGACUUAGAUUGAGUUUCUUCAUUAAAUAUUUUCGAUGUAUUUGACUCUCUUGCUUGAUUUGGUUUUCAAGGAGUUGUUUAGAAGUUUUGAGUCUGAGUCAACCCUAAGAUUCAGAAAGAACAUGUGUAUUUCGUAUAGCUGAGAUUUGAAGUUGUUCGUUAGCGGACCGAUAUUCUAAAUGCUCAGCUUAGUGGGAUCUCAAAUCUCGUCUUUUGAGUUGAGCAAAAGAUUGAGAAUGUUCUUGACACCGGACCAAGGUCUUUUUAACUGUGUUGAGUCUUUUGUUAUAAUACUUUUUAUAAACAUUUCAGACUUAGAUAAUAAAAUUGCCUUCGGUGAUGUUAAAAACAGCGCGACGUUUUAAAAUUAAAUCACCCUUUACAAAAAAAAUGAUGUAAAUUGUUGUUUUUUUGCCAUUUGUUUUGUUAACAUUUGCUUCAAAUAAAGGCUUUGUACGCAUUUUUAUAUUAAAACACAUCUGA